CUCGGGGUGGGGGUUCCCGCAGCCCAAAUUGUGAGAGGGCACAGGCCAGGCUGAGGGACCCCACCUAUGCACA
Molecule: microRNA precursor, 73 nt
Filed under: Myotis brandtii (Brandt's bat)
Lineage: Eukaryota; Metazoa; Chordata; Mammalia; Chiroptera; Vespertilionidae
Description: mir-9193 microRNA precursor family
Rfam family: mir-9193 microRNA precursor family
Source: Rfam by way of RNAcentral